Long non-coding RNA from Phymastichus coffea, 932 nucleotides. RefSeq lists it as uncharacterized. The transcript is spliced from 3 exons. The record is from RefSeq and is a predicted model, not a curated record. NCBI's taxonomy places the organism in Eukaryota, Metazoa, Arthropoda, Insecta, Hymenoptera, Eulophidae.
GCAAGCGUCGCGUUCGCAUCUCACUUGCUCAGCACUCAACUCGGAAAUAACGCACUGCAUACGCAUAAACACGUAAAAACAAACAGCGCUACGGCGUGCCGGCAAACUUGACGUAUAAAUAUAUGACUGUUACGGUUUUUCAGUUGCGAAUGUGUGUGUGUGCUAGCACACGACAGGCCUGGGAGAGAAGUCAGAAUUUAUAUUAAUAGACAAAGCGACGUUGUGGAAGGGACGCAGCAUAUAGUUUUGCGCGCGCGCGCCCGAUCUCGCUCAAGCUCACGAGGCCCAGUGUUGCGCAGGUUGACGACAAAGCCAGGAUGCCAGCCGCGAGUAGGAGAAGCGUCUCUGGCAGCGGCAGCAGCAGCAGCAGCAACGGCAGCGGCAGCAGCAGCUGAUCGAUCGGGCCACUCUCGAUGAACUUUUGAAUAUCCAUCUGGAAAACUGCAGGCAGAAUAGGGUGAAAAUCAAUAUUGCACACCGGCUGACGUGGACCUUUUUUGGGAACGCAUAAAAAUUGAGGUACAAUGAACCAAAAUACCCACCAUAAAAUAUUCCAAUCAGCGAGGGAACUGUAAAUUAAAUAUUUACUAUACGGCGGCAUGUCACAAGGCGUUACAUUGAAAAAAGAGUGAUAUUGUGUUUUGAUUUUCCAAGAAAUUGCUUACAGAAUAGUGGAAAAAGUGCAUUUAAAAUAAAAAUAAAUCCACCUUAAGGCUGAAAAUCAUUCACUUUUAUCCAAGUUAACGUUUAUAUUUUUUUCUGAUUAAAAAAAUUGAUAGUGAAUUUGCCGAUAUCUGAUCACAAUAAAUAUAGAAUCUCAAAAUCGUUUCAGCUAAAAAAGAAAUCGACAACUCAACUAUCUGUCAGUAGAAAAUUUUCUUUAAAAUUUCCGUUACAACGAAGUUUUAUAAAUUCUGCACACUAUUUGUCAA